UGAUAGAAUUAGCAACUUUGCAAAUUAAUUAGAAUGCCGUUUUGUCUGUAUUGCAUCUAGACUUCUGUCCUCUUGAGGGGAUUAUUAGUUUGAUCUUCUAAGCUCUCCACAUGCUUUGGUGAUUAAUUUUAUACCUUUCUGCCAAGUUUUAGUUCAACAUCCUCUUAGAUGCUGUUUGUAGAUGUUCCACAGGAGUAUAAACAUCUGUUGAUUUACUUUAACCCUAGAUAGGAGGCCCUUGCUAGGUACUGACGUCUGGAUUCAGCUAAGCCCAGGUUUUAUGGACCAAAAUGACCCAAUGGAUAUGUUUACAAAUAAAGUAAGGAGGCUAAUUAAGAAGAAGAACUUUCCAGAAUGUUUUAAAGUCAGGACAAUCACAGAUCCUCCAAAGGAGAUAGGUGAUUUUUGUGUGUUCAUAAAAACACACAAAAAUAAAGUUGAUAAAACAAGAUUGCUGCUGAUUAACUUAGAGGUGAAAAUUGCAAGAUGGUGCCUUCAAAAGCUCAGUGAUUAUGAUUACAUGGUAGAAUUGUCACAACAAUUAAUUUAAAAAUUUAGAGCAUUUAUACACAAAUUUAGAUAUCAGAACAAUGAGACUAUGGUAGUAAUGGAU
RNAcentral lists this long non-coding RNA (613 nucleotides) under Androctonus crassicauda. The record is from RNAcentral. Lineage: Eukaryota; Metazoa; Arthropoda; Arachnida; Scorpiones; Buthidae.